Molecule: ribosomal RNA, 468 nt
Filed under: uncultured bacterium
Lineage: Bacteria
Description: partial 16S ribosomal RNA
Rfam family: Bacterial small subunit ribosomal RNA
Source: RNAcentral
GACGAACGCUGGCGGCGUGCUUAACACAUGCAAGUCGAACGGAAAGGCCCUGCUUUUGUGGGGUGCUCGAGUGGCGAACGGGUGAGUAACACGUGAGUAACCUGCCCUUGACUUUGGGAUAACUUCAGGAAACUGGGGCUAAUACCGGAUAGGAGCUCCUGCUGCAUGGUGGGGGUUGGAAAGUUUCGGCGGUUGGGGAUGGACUCGCGGCUUAUCAGCUUGUUGGUGGGGUAGUGGCUUACCAAGGCUUUGACGGGUAGCCGGCCUGGGAGGGUGACCGGCCACAUUGGGACUGAGAUACGGCCCAGACUCCUACGGGAGGCAGCAGGGGGGAAUAUUGCACAAUGGGCGGAAGCCUGAUGCAGCAACGCCGCGGGCGGGAUGACGGCCUUCGGGUUGUAAACCGCUUUCGCCUGCGACGAAGCGUGAGUGACGGUAAUGGGUAAAGAAGCACCGGCUAACUACGUG